RNAcentral lists this non-coding RNA (125 nucleotides) under Fluviicola taffensis. Its description in RNAcentral is "SAM-I sequence". It matches the Rfam family "SAM riboswitch aptamer (S box leader)". Rfam says of the family: The SAM riboswitch is found upstream of a number of genes which code for proteins involved in methionine or cysteine biosynthesis in Gram-positive bacteria. The SAM riboswitch acts at the level of transcription termination control. RNAcentral also lists the same sequence under 1 other name. The record is from RNAcentral. Lineage: Bacteria; Pseudomonadati; Bacteroidota; Flavobacteriia; Flavobacteriales; Crocinitomicaceae.
AACUUAUGAAGAAAGGUGGAGGGACAGGCCCUAUGAAACCUUGGCAACCUGCCAAUCCAAUUAUUUUGGAAAGGAGAAGGUGCCAAAUCCGAUUCAUCAGCUGAGGCUGAAGGAAGAGAUAAGUA